Molecule: ribosomal RNA, 253 nt
Filed under: uncultured bacterium
Lineage: Bacteria
Description: partial 16S ribosomal RNA
Rfam family: Bacterial small subunit ribosomal RNA
Source: RNAcentral
UACGUAGGUGGCAAGCGUUGUCCGGAAUUAUUGGGCGUAAAGCGCGCGCAGGCGGUCCUUUAAGUCUGAUGUGAAAGCCCACGGCUCAACCGUGGAGGGUCAUUGGAAACUGGGGGACUUGAGUACAGAAGAGAAGAGUGGAAUUCCACGUGUAGCGGUGAAAUGCGUAGAGAUGUGCAGGAACACCAGUGGCGAAGGCGACUCUUUGGUCUGUAACUGACGCUGAGGCGCGAAAGCGUGGGGAGCAAACAGG